AUGAACGCUGGCGGCGUGCCUAAUACCUGCAAGUCGCGCGAACGGACGAGAAGCUUGCUUCUCUGAUGUUAGCGGCGGACGGGUGAGUAACACGUGGAUAACCUACCUAUAAGACUGGGAUAACUUCGGGAAACCGGAGCUAAUACCGGAUGAUAUUUUGAACCGCAUGGUUCAAAAGUGAAAGACGGUCUUGCUGUCACUUAUAGAUGGACCCGCGCUGCUUUAGCUAGUUGGUAAGGUAACGGCUUACCAAGGCAACGAUGCAUAGCCGACCUGAGAGGGGAAUCGUCCCCCUGGGAACUGGGCCACGGGCCAGGCCCCUCCGGGGGCCCGGAGGAGGAAAUCUUCCGCAGUGGGCGAAAGCCUGACGGGGCAACGCCGCGUGGGUGAAGAAGGCCUUCGGGUCGUAAAACUUUUUUAUUAGGGAAGAACAUAUUUGUAAGUAAAUGGCCCCUUUUUACCGGUACCAAAACAAAAGGCCCCGCUAACUUCCGG
RNAcentral lists this ribosomal RNA (495 nucleotides) under uncultured bacterium. Its description in RNAcentral is "partial 16S ribosomal RNA". It matches the Rfam family "Bacterial small subunit ribosomal RNA", at positions 29 to 507 of the family's 1533-position model. The record is from RNAcentral.